AUACGGAGGAUCCGAGCGUUAUCCGGAUUUAUUGGGUUUAAAGGGUGCGCAGGCGGCCAUUUAAGUCAGCGGUUAAAUCGUGGGGCUCAACCCCAUUCUGCCGUUGAUACUGGGUGGCUUGAUUGCGGUCGAGGUUGGCGGAAUUCGUUGUGUAGCGGUGAAAUGCAUAGAUAUGACGAAGAACACCGAUUGCGUAGGCAGCUGACCAGACCGCAAAUGACGCUCAUGCACGAAAGUGCGGGGAUCGAACAGGAUUAGAUACCCUGGUAGUCCGCACAGUAAACGAUGAAUACUCGUUUUCGGCGAUAUAAUGUCGGAGGCAAAGCGAAAGCGAUAAGUAUUCCACCUGGGGAGUACGCCGGCAACGGUGAAACUCAAAUGAAUUGACGGGG
RNAcentral lists this ribosomal RNA (392 nucleotides) under uncultured bacterium. RNAcentral's name for it is "partial 16S ribosomal RNA". It matches the Rfam family "Bacterial small subunit ribosomal RNA", at positions 523 to 918 of the family's 1533-position model. The record is from RNAcentral.